UGGCAUUUUUUGCAUUUUCGUGCGAACUUUUCGCAAUCUCCGAUCAUUGUUGGCCAGUAGUAUCCAUGGCGUUUGAUUUUCACGGCUAGCGAUCUUCCACCAGAAUGGUUGCCGCAGGAACCGGAAUUUACUUCCUCCAGGCACGUCAUGAGUGGUCCUGAGAAUCUCCAUUUGUAAAUUUCGCCGUCCACUGUCACAUAGCGUGCGGCCUGUGUUCGGACUUUGCGGGCUGCCCAUUUUUCGGUGGGCAGUUGCCCGUCGAUAAUGUAGUCUCGAAUCGUCUAAAGCCAUGGGGUAUCGCAGCUGUAAUCAGAUUGCUCCGAUGGUGGUUGUAUCGUAACUUCUUCUUCCUCGUCAUCUUGACCUUCUAUGAGAUUGACGACGAUUGGUGGUCCGAUGCUCG
Molecule: long non-coding RNA, 403 nt
Filed under: Brassica rapa (field mustard)
Lineage: Eukaryota; Viridiplantae; Streptophyta; Magnoliopsida; Brassicales; Brassicaceae
Description: long non-coding RNA (BRAP_LNC008316)
Source: RNAcentral